Molecule: ribosomal RNA, 254 nt
Filed under: uncultured bacterium
Lineage: Bacteria
Description: partial 16S ribosomal RNA
Rfam family: Bacterial small subunit ribosomal RNA
Source: RNAcentral
UACGGAGGGUCCAAGCGUUAUCCGGAAUUACUGGGCGUAAAGCGUUGCGUAGGUGGCAAAGUAAGCAGUGUGUGAAAUUGUGUGGCUCAACCACUCAUCCAUACGCUGAACUGCUUAGCUUGAGAGUGGAAGAGGUUGCUAGAAUUCCUGGUGUAGGGGUGAAAUCCGUAGAUAUCAGGAGGAAUACCGAUGGCGUAGGCAGGCAACUGGUCCAUUUCUGACACUAAUGCACGAAAGCGUGGGGAGCGAUCGGG